Molecule: non-coding RNA, 54 nt
Organism: Salmo salar (Atlantic salmon)
Lineage: Eukaryota; Metazoa; Chordata; Actinopteri; Salmoniformes; Salmonidae
Source: Rfam
UGCAUUCACUACUGUAAGUCGCUCUGGAUAAGAGCUUCUGCUAAGUGACUAAAA